This 271-nucleotide ribosomal RNA is filed under the name uncultured bacterium. RNAcentral's name for it is "partial 16S ribosomal RNA". It matches the Rfam family "Bacterial small subunit ribosomal RNA", at positions 524 to 794 of the family's 1533-position model. The record is from RNAcentral.
UACAGAGGGUGCGAGCGUUAAUCGGAAUUACUGGGCGUAAAGCGCGCGUAGGCGGUUAUUUAAGUCGGAUGUGAAAUCCCCGAGCUCAACUUGGGAAUUGCAUUCGAUACCGGGUAGCUAGAGUAUGGGAGAGGAAGGUAGAAUUCCAGGUGUAGCGGUGAAAUGCGUAGAGAUCUGGAGGAAUACCGAUGGCGAAGGCAGCCUUCUGGCCUAAUACUGACGCUGAGGUGCGAAAGCAUGGGGAGCAAACAGGAUUAGAAACCCUUGUAGU